CAGCAGCCGCGGUAAUACGAAGGGGGCUAGCGUUGCUCGGAAUUACUGGGCGUAAAGCGCACGCAGGCGGUUUGUUAAGUCAGAUGUGAAAUCCCCGAGCUUAACUUGGGAACUGCAUUUGAAACUGGCAAGCUAGAGUCUUGUAGAGGGGGGUAGAAUUCCAGGUGUAGCGGUGAAAUGCGUAGAGAUCUGGGGGAAUACCGGUGGCGAAGGCGGCCCCCUGACAAAGACUGACGCUCAGGUGCGAAAGCGUGGGGAGCAAACAGGAUUAGAUACCCCUGUAGUCCCUGUCUCUUAUACA
RNAcentral lists this ribosomal RNA (301 nucleotides) under uncultured bacterium. RNAcentral describes it as "partial 16S ribosomal RNA". It matches the Rfam family "Bacterial small subunit ribosomal RNA", at positions 509 to 808 of the family's 1533-position model. The record is from RNAcentral.